This 460-nucleotide ribosomal RNA is filed under the name uncultured bacterium. RNAcentral's name for it is "partial 16S ribosomal RNA". It matches the Rfam family "Bacterial small subunit ribosomal RNA", at positions 338 to 795 of the family's 1533-position model. The record is from RNAcentral.
CCUACGGGAGGCUGCAGUGAGGAAUAUUGGUCAAUGGACGAGAGUCUGAACCAGCCAAGUAGCGUGAAGGAUGACUGCCCUAUGGGUUGUAAACUUCUUUUAUAUGGGAAUAAAAUGUUCCACGUGUGGGAUUUUGUAUGUACCAUAUGAAUAAGGAUCGGCUAACUCCGUGCCAGCAGCCGCGGUAAUACGGAGGAUCCGAGCGUUAUCCGGAUUUAUUGGGUUUAAAGGGAGCGUAGGUGGAUUGUUAAGUCAGUUGUGAAAGUUUGCGGCUCAACCGUAAAAUUGCAGUUGAAACUGGCAGUCUUGAGUACAGUAGAGGUGGGCGGAAUUCGUGGUGUAGCGGUGAAAUGCUUAGAUAUCACGAAGAACUCCGAUUGCGAAGGCAGUUCACUGGACUGCAACUGACACCGAGGCUCGAAAGUGUGGGUAUCAAACAGGAUUAGAUACCCGUGUAGUC